Molecule: ribosomal RNA, 492 nt
Filed under: uncultured bacterium
Lineage: Bacteria
Description: partial 16S ribosomal RNA
Rfam family: Bacterial small subunit ribosomal RNA
Source: RNAcentral
AGUGAACGCUGGCGGUAGGCCUAACACAUGCAAGUCGAACGGCAGCACAGUAAGAGCUUGCUCUUACGGGUGGCGAGUGGCGGACGGGUGAGGAAUACAUCGGAAUCUACUUUUUCGUGGGGGAUAACGUAGGGAAACUUACGCUAAUACCGCAUACGACCUACGGGUGAAAGCAGUGGAUCUUCGGACCUUGCGCGAUUGAAUGAGCCGAUGUCGGAUUAGCUAGUUGGCGGGGUAAAUGCCCACCAAGGCGACGAUCCGUAGCUGGUCUGAGAGGAUGAUCGGCCACACUGGAACUGAGACACGGUCCAGGCUCCUACGGGAGGCAGCAGUGGGGAAUAUUGGACAGUGGGCGCAAGCCUUAUCCAGCCAUACCGCGUGGGUGAAGAAGGCCUUCGGGUUGUAAAGCCCUUUUGUUGGGAAAGAAAAGCAGCAGGUUAAUACCCCGCUGUUCUGACGGUAACCAAAGAAUAAGCACCGGCUAACUUCGUG